CCGGCCUUGGUGGAAUCAAGGUAGACACGCCAGUCUCAGGAACUGGAGCUCGAAAGAGCAGUGCGAGUUCGAGUCUCGCAGGCCGGACCA
RNAcentral lists this transfer RNA (90 nucleotides) under Burkholderia cepacia. RNAcentral's name for it is "tRNA-Leu". It matches the Rfam family "tRNA". From Rfam's summary of the family: Transfer RNA (tRNA) molecules are approximately 80 nucleotides in length. Their secondary structure includes four short double-helical elements and three loops (D, anti-codon, and T loops). Lineage: Bacteria; Pseudomonadati; Pseudomonadota; Betaproteobacteria; Burkholderiales; Burkholderiaceae. The record is from RNAcentral. RNAcentral also lists the same sequence under 3 other names.